UACGGGGGGGGCAAGCGUUGUUCGGAAUUACUGGGCGUAAAGGGCUCGUAGGUGGCCAACUAAGUCAGACGUGAAAUCCCCCGGCUUAACCGGGGAACUGCGUCUGAUACUGGAUGGCUUGAGUUCGGGAGAGGGAUGCGGAAUUCCAGGUGUAGCGGUGAAAUGCGUAGAUAUCUGGAGGAACACCGGUGGCGAAGGCGGCACCCUGGACCGACACUGACGCUGAGGAGCGAAAGCCAGGGGAGCAAACGGG
This 253-nucleotide ribosomal RNA is filed under the name uncultured bacterium. RNAcentral describes it as "partial 16S ribosomal RNA". It matches the Rfam family "Bacterial small subunit ribosomal RNA", at positions 524 to 776 of the family's 1533-position model. The record is from RNAcentral.